GUAUGUCUCCCUUAUUUUUAAAAACUAUAAUAUUUUCUAUAUUUCAUGUGACAAGGUCAACCAUUCCCGUCAACACAUACAUUCAUAGAUAACAGCUGAAAUCAUUAAAAAAGUCGACUAGAUUUUGGUAACAAGCACCAUCAACUUGAUAGGUUAAGGCUCUAGCAUAGGCCUAGUCUCGUUACUCUCGUAUAUGAUAGAGUGAGAGAACUUACAUCCCCCAAAUUCACCAUUACACAACCAUGUGCAAAGAUUCAUAUGAGGCUUACAUAUCAUGGAGUAAGAAACAUAAAGUUUACAAAGUCCAAACAGGCAAAACUUUUACCUCUAGCAGCAGUGUUUUCAGGGGAUAGGCUGGCGUUGUUAGCAUUUUCCCAUCAAUAAUUCAAUAAUAACUUUCCACGGGUCUUAAAAUAUACUAUAUAGGCAUAUAAGCCAACAUGAGAAGUUCUCAAGAUGGAGUAUUAAACUUCCAUUGGAACAAUAAAUUUAGCUGCAUAUUCCAAAAAGCUAGCAAAAUCUAAUUCAGUUCAAUGGAUAGUAAUACUCAACAAACUACUAAGAUAAACGCAUAAGAAACAACCCCCAAAAUUCCAUUAAUCACUAAGCCAGAAGACAACUUCAACACCCCGCUGGCAAACCAAAAAUCUAAGAAUAUUAUCCAAACCAUCAAAACAUAGAUACCCACAACACGAAUAAUUUUCUACUCAUAUCUAAACAUUAAAAAGAACAAAACUUUGGAUUAAAACA
RNAcentral lists this unclassified non-coding RNA (750 nucleotides) under Hevea brasiliensis (rubber tree). The record is from RNAcentral. Lineage: Eukaryota; Viridiplantae; Streptophyta; Magnoliopsida; Malpighiales; Euphorbiaceae.